GACGAACGCUGGCGGCGUGCUUAACACAUGCAAGUCGAACGGAAAGGCCCUGCUUUUGUGGGGUGCUCGAGUGGCGAACGGGUGAGUAACACGUGAGUAACCUGCCCUUGACUUUGGGAUAACUUCAGGAAACUGGGGCUAAUACCGGAUAGGAUCUCCUGCUGCAUGGUGGGGGUUGGAAAGUUUCGGCGGUUGGGGAUGGACUCGCGGCUUAUCAGCUUGUUGGUGGGGUAGUGGCUUACCAAGGCUUUGACGGGUAGCCGGCCUGAGAGGGUGACCGGCCACAUUGGGACUGAGGUACGGCCCAGACUCCACCGGGAGGCAGCAGUGGGGAAUAUUGCACAAUGGGCGGACGCGUGAUGCAGAAACGCCGCGUGCGGGAUGACGGCUUUCGGGUUAUAAACCGCUUUCGCCUGUGACGAAGCGUGAGUGACGGUAAUGGGUAAAGAAGCACCGGCUAACUACGUG
RNAcentral lists this ribosomal RNA (468 nucleotides) under uncultured bacterium. RNAcentral's name for it is "partial 16S ribosomal RNA". It matches the Rfam family "Bacterial small subunit ribosomal RNA", at positions 28 to 507 of the family's 1533-position model. The record is from RNAcentral.